RNAcentral lists this ribosomal RNA (432 nucleotides) under Mycobacterium farcinogenes. RNAcentral describes it as "bacterial SSU rRNA". It matches the Rfam family "Bacterial small subunit ribosomal RNA", at positions 48 to 497 of the family's 1533-position model. Lineage: Bacteria; Bacillati; Actinomycetota; Actinomycetes; Mycobacteriales; Mycobacteriaceae. The record is from RNAcentral.
UUAACACAUGCAAGUCGAACGGAAAGGCCCUUCGGGGUACUCGAGUGGCGAACGGGUGAGUAACACGUGGGUGAUCUGCCCUGCACUUUGGGAUAAGCCUGGGAAACUGGGUCUAAUACCGGAUAGGACCACGCGCUUCAUGGUGUGUGGUGGAAAGCUUUUGCGGUGUGGGAUGGGCCCGCGGCCUAUCAGCUUGUUGGUGGGGUAAUGGCCUACCAAGGCGACGACGGGUAGCCGGCCUGAGAGGGUGACCGGCCACACUGGGACUGAGAUACGGCCCAGACUCCUACGGGAGGCAGCAGUGGGGAAUAUUGCACAAUGGGCGCAAGCCUGAUGCAGCGACGCCGCGUGAGGGAUGACGGCCUUCGGGUUGUAAACCUCUUUCAAUAGGGACGAAGCGCAAGUGACGGUACCUAUAGAAGAAGGACCGGC